Molecule: ribosomal RNA, 465 nt
Filed under: Vreelandella stevensii
Lineage: Bacteria; Pseudomonadati; Pseudomonadota; Gammaproteobacteria; Oceanospirillales; Halomonadaceae
Description: partial 16S ribosomal RNA
Rfam family: Bacterial small subunit ribosomal RNA
Source: RNAcentral
CCUACGGGCGGCUGCAGUGGGGAAUAUUGGACAAUGGGGGCAACCCUGAUCCAGCCAUGCCGCGUGUGUGAAGAAGGCCCUCGGGUUGUAAAGCACUUUCAGUGAGGAAGAACGCCUGGUGGUUAAUACCCAUCAGGAAAGACAUCACUCACAGAAGAAGCACCGGCUAACUCCGUGCCAGCAGCCGCGGUAAUACGGAGGGUGUGAGCGUUAAUCGGAAUUACUGGGCGUAAAGCGCGCGUAGGUGGCUUGAUAAGCCGGUUGUGAAAGCCCCGGGCUCAACCUGGGAACGGCAUCCGGAACUGUCAAGCUAGAGUGCAGGAGAGGAAGGUAGAAUUCCCGGUGUAGCGGUGAAAUGCGUAGAGAUCGGGAGGAAUACCAGUGGCGAAGGCGGCCUUCUGGCCUGACACUGACACUGAGGUGCGAAAGCGUGGGUAGCAAACAGGAUUAGAUACCCCGGUAGUC